Molecule: long non-coding RNA, 189 nt
Organism: Haliotis rubra (blacklip abalone)
Lineage: Eukaryota; Metazoa; Mollusca; Gastropoda; Lepetellida; Haliotidae
Exons: 3
Source: RefSeq, a predicted model, not a curated record
ACUGAACCCCACCACGCCAACCAGAGUCCCGUGCCUCAUGUCACAGUUCAGGUCCCCUGACAUUGUCGCCAUGGAAGAGGACAGCCCUGACAAGCCUGAUGUCACCCGACUGUCCGACAGGACUAACAUCACAGCCUAUGAAAAUUCUGAAGUUGUGUUGCCAUGUGGAGAAAAGUUGACCCAAGUAAA